GUGCCAGCAGCCGCGGUAAUACGGGGGGGGCGAGCGUUGUUCGGAAUUACUGGGCGUAAAGGGCUCGUAGGUGGCCUCCUAAGUCAGACGUGAAAUCCCUCGGCUCAACCGGGGAACUGCGUCUGAGACUGGGAGGCUUGAAUCCGGGAGAGGGACGUGGAAUUCCAGGUGUAGCGGUGAAAUGCGUAGAUAUCUGGAGGAACACCGGUGGCGAAGGCGGCGUCCUGGACCGGUAUUGACACUGAGGAGCGAAAGCCAGGGGAGCAAACGGGAUUAGAAACCCGGGUAGUCC
RNAcentral lists this ribosomal RNA (292 nucleotides) under uncultured bacterium. RNAcentral describes it as "partial 16S ribosomal RNA". It matches the Rfam family "Bacterial small subunit ribosomal RNA", at positions 505 to 796 of the family's 1533-position model. The record is from RNAcentral.